This 429-nucleotide ribosomal RNA is filed under the name uncultured bacterium. Its description in RNAcentral is "bacterial SSU rRNA". It matches the Rfam family "Bacterial small subunit ribosomal RNA", at positions 29 to 440 of the family's 1533-position model. The record is from RNAcentral.
AACUAACGCUGGCGGCGCGUCUUAAACAUGCAAGUCGAACGGUAGUCCAUAAGCUUGCUUAAGGAUGAGAGUGGCGAACGGGUGAGUAACACGUGGAUAAUCUGCCUCCGGGUUGGGGAUAACUGUCCGAAAGGAUAGCUAAUACCGAAUGAGAUGGUGGUUAUGCAGAUAACAGCCAUUAAAGGUGGGGACCGCAAGGCCUACUGCCUGGAGAUGAGUCCGCGGCUGAUUAGCUUGUUGGUGGGGUAACGGCCUACCAAGGCGACGAUCAGUAGCCGGCCUGAGAGGGUGAACGGCCACAUUGGGACUGAGAUACGGCCCAGACUCCUACGGGAGGCAGCAGUUAAGAAUCUUGCACAAUGGGCGCAAGCCUGAUGCAGCGACGCCGCGUGAAUGAUGAAGGCUUUAGGGUUGUAAAGUUCAGUAAGC